This 2844-nucleotide unclassified non-coding RNA is filed under the name Pollicipes pollicipes. Its description in RNAcentral is "uncharacterized LOC119113696, transcript variant X3". The record is from RNAcentral. Lineage: Eukaryota; Metazoa; Arthropoda; Thecostraca; Pollicipedomorpha; Pollicipedidae.
CCGGCCGAGGUGUGCAGGGGCCGCACGUGGACAGCUGGGCUCAGUACGGUGUCGCGGUGCGCGCUGCGCCGACGCAGUCGACAGCGAUGUCGGAGGCGACGCUGCGCGUGCUGCACACGUGCCGCGCGCUGCUGGCCCGCUCCGGAACCAGCGAGCAGGCGGCGCCGCUGCUGUUCCGCGCGUGUCUGUGUGCCAACGGCUGGCCGGGUGCCUGCCCGGACAGCGUGGGGCCGGGCCGGCCGGCGCCAGGCCUGAACCAGGCCGACCUGGAGAGCCGGCGGCUGUCCGAGGAGGCCGAGGCAGGUCCGCUGGGUGGCGGCCCGCUGGUGCCGCUCAGCGCCGUCCUCGCGCUCAUCUGCAUCGGCCUCAGUCGGGCUCGUGUACGCGUACCGUCAACGACACCGGCAGGACGGGCCGGCGGAGCCACGUGACAGGGGAGACUCGCGGCACAUGCCGGUGCCAGUCUGCGAGCUCGAGGCGGCGCGGCCCCCUCCGGCCGGCCGCUGCCGGGGCCCGCGCGACCUGCCGCCGCCUUACCUCGACGUCAUCGCCGAAGAGCCUCCUGCCUACGACUCGGUCUGCAUCGAGGACGACGCCAAACGAAGCAGUGUCGUUGACAUUGUGUGACUGGAACGGCGCGGUCCGAGGGUCGGCGGCGCAUUCUGGACUGGAACGGGUCUGGCCCCGGACUAGAGCAGGUCUGACCCCGGACCGGAGCGGAUCUGACCCCGGACCAGAGCAGGUCUGACCCCGGGCCGGAGCGGGUCUGACCCCGGACCGGAGCGGGUCUGACCCCGGACCGGAGCAGGUCUGACCCCGGACUGGAGCGGGUCUGACCCCGGACCGGAGCGGGUCUGACCCCGGACCGGAGCAGGUCUGACCCCGGACUGGAGUGUGUCUGACCCUGAAUGGUGCGGGUCUGACUCCGGACUAGAAGGUGUCGGGAUCCCGCAUGACCUUCCUACAUGCGCUGCCACUACGUAAUCUGGGUUACGUGGACCCGGUAUCCGGGGUAUAGUUACGCAAAAUGACUUCCCGAAAGGGCGGGGGGGGGGGGAGGGCUGAUUAUUGACAAAUGACGCAACUUACUCCUAAAAUAUGUCCACGAACGGGUUUUCCCCGGAUUUCACCGACAUCCUUCUCGAAGUCAAGAACGGGCUGACCCCCCCCCCCCCCCCCCCCUCCCCGGACAGAAUAGGAACCCCAGUCGGGAUUUGAUGCUUGACCUGGUAGGUGCCGGGAUCUCGCGAGUGUAUGUCAGUCGCCCUCGACGCGGGCGACUUGCACCCGUGUCACGGUCGGGCGCGACUAAGGCUUGCACCCGUGUCACGGUCGGGCGCGACUAAGGCCGCGGUAAGGCGUCCGCGGGCCGCCUCGGACAGCGGGGGACUCCCCGCCGUGACGGGCGUCGGGGCCAGUGUUGCAGUGACCCGAGUGACCCGGUGGGGCCGCCGGUCAGCUCUCUGUCGUUUCGGCCCGGGUCUGCAGGCCGUUGGGGCGGCAGACACUUGGGCCGUCGUUCGCCGGAGGGGACGCGGACACGUCGUCGCACCGCUGGCAUCCUUUCCAGCACGGACGGCGGACAAAACGCAGAAAAUCACGGGCACUUGUUGCGCGCUAACCACGAAAAAAUGAUGUUGCGAGUGUAACGACCUGUUGGAUCACAAGCCACGUCGUCCGAAUUAGAAGCUGAGGCUGGGUUGAAGCGCCGCCAAACGGCCCAACAGGCCACCGCGGCUCUUGUCUUCAUCUGCAGCUGGGAGUUCCCACCUCGCAACGCUGCCAGAUGGGGCCUUCAUCCACCCUGUAUCACACCGCUACGCUACGUUCUGGAAGUAGUGCUACCCGCCGUUGGCUGAGUUAGGGAAGGAGCGGCCUCCGGUGCACCCUAUGUUUGUGAUAGAUGAUGUACAACUCUGACAGGCGACAGCAGUUCACUACUGUUUUCUGCGAACGGGUACAAGGUGCGUGAUGGCUUCGUUUCGUCCUGUCGUCGGCGUGGACGGCGAAAAUGACGCCCUUCUCGCCCUCCCAGAUGAAACUCUUCGAGACCGGGAUCGUUAAUCCACGGCAGGCAGCCAGUGCUCGGUGAUUUUCUGUGUUACCUUGAAACAUGACGUCAUUAGAUCACGUUUGGUGCCAGCGAUCCGUGAAUCUACUGUAUUCGCUGACCGUCGCUGUGGUGCCGCAGCGCGGUGCUGGGUGGGUCAGGCGAGGUUGUGAGUCGCCAGCGGUGACUGCAGGUUUGCGGUGCGGCGGUUGUCCGUGUGCUGGGUCGCAUACAGUGUCGGCUUCUGCAAUGCCUAGACAUUGCCAGCAGGCACCGACUGACUCGGGUGUUGACAAGCCAGAUGUGGCCGUCGGUUCGCUAGGUGGUAGGGAGAUGGGUACGCCGGUCACGCGGUACGAGUAGCGUGCAUGCAAUUUUGUACUCAAAGGUGUUUUGUAUGUUUGUACUCAUCAGCUACUGACUGCUGCGAGUCAGCGAAUGAGUGGGAUCACAGGUCUUCCAACCCGUAGCGAACCCCAUCUCAUCGUCAUGACUCUCGCAGGGCGCCCGCCGCCGGUGAGCCCGAUUUGUCUGGAGGCACCGUACAAAAAGGCCAUCAUUACUUCCGUUCGCAGCCGCCCAGGCGAGCCACCUCGCGCGCGCCCUGCGCGGAACAGUUCCGUCCUGGUGUACGCAAAGCGACGUUGAGCUUUGUUCUUCACCACUAGGUGGGCAUGAGCUCAGCCCUUGUGAACCGAUAGCGUAUGUUUGUGAACGCGCUUCUCGAAGAGCUUGGUUACCGAAAGUGGUUCCAUACAUGUGCAUAGAUAUGAAAUAAACGUGUAUUACGACUC